RNAcentral lists this unclassified non-coding RNA (343 nucleotides) under soil metagenome. RNAcentral describes it as "partial contains 5.8S ribosomal RNA, internal transcribed spacer 2, and large subunit ribosomal RNA". The stretch from base 1 to 120 matches the Rfam family "5.8S ribosomal RNA", at positions 35 to 154 of the family's 154-position model. The record is from RNAcentral.
GAUGAAGAACGUAGCGAAAUGCGAUAAGUAAUGUGAAUUGCAGAAUUCAGUGAAUCAUCGAAUCUUUGAACGCACAUUGCGCCCGCCAGUAUUCUGGCGGGCAUGCCUGUUCGAGCGUCAUUUCAACCCUCAAGCACUGCUUGGUGUUGGGGACCGGCUUGCCUUCAGCGCCUGCCGCCCCCGAAAUACAGUGGCGGUCUCGCCGCAGCCUCCUCUGCGUAGUAGUUUACAACCUCGCAUACGGAGCGCGGCGCGGCCACGCCGUAAAACCCCCUACUUUCAAAGGUUGACCUCGAAUCAGGUAGGAAUACCCGCUGAACUUAAGCAUAUCAUAAGCGGAGGA